This 497-nucleotide ribosomal RNA is filed under the name uncultured bacterium. Its description in RNAcentral is "partial 16S ribosomal RNA". It matches the Rfam family "Bacterial small subunit ribosomal RNA", at positions 28 to 507 of the family's 1533-position model. The record is from RNAcentral.
GAUGAACGCUGGCGGCGUGCCUAACACAUGCAAGUCGAGCGAACAGACGAGGAGUUUGCCUGUUUGAAGCUAGCGGCGGACGGGUGAGUAAUACGAGGGUAACCGACAUAUAAGACUGGGAUAACGUAGGGAAAGCGGAGAUAACAUAGGAUAAUAUUGAGAAAGGCAUGGAUCGAUAGAGAAAGAUGGAUCUGAUAACACUAAUAGAUGGACCUGCGUCGUAUUAGCUAGUUGGUAAGGUAACGGCUUACCAAGGCGACGAUACGUAGCUGACCUGAGAGGAUGAUCAGCCACACUGGAACUGAGACACGGUCCAGACUCCUACGGGAGGCAGCAGUGGGGAAUCUUCCACAAUGGGCGAAAGCCUGACGGAGCAACGCCGCGUGUGUGAUGAAGGUCUUCGGAUCGUAAAGCUCUUUUAUUUGGGAGGAACGAACGUGUGUGAAACCCUGCACGUCUUGACGUUACCAAAACAGAAAGCCACGGCUAACUACGUG